Molecule: non-coding RNA, 212 nt
Filed under: Bacillus sp. (in: firmicutes)
Lineage: Bacteria; Bacillati; Bacillota; Bacilli; Caryophanales; Bacillaceae
Description: Bacillus sp. T-box sequence
Rfam family: T-box leader
About the family: Uncharged tRNA acts as the effector for transcription antitermination of genes in the T-box leader family.
Source: RNAcentral
UUUCGUUCGAUGACGAAGAGAGUAAUUUUACAAAAAUUCCAAAGCGAGUUAGGGUUGGUGGGAGCCUAAUGGAUUAUGUAAAAUGAAGCGCACUUCUGAGAUGCUGUUCUGAAUUCAUAGUAGGUUCAGCCGGGGUACUCCCCGAUAUCAAGGGCAAAGAAGGUUCAGGUUGAACAACAAGAGUGGUACCGCGGGCAAAUCUCGUCUCUAAU